GAUGAACGCUGGCGGCGUGCCUAAUACAUGCAAGUCGAGCGAAUGGAUUAAGAGCUUGCUCUUAUGAAGUUAGCGGCGGACGGGUGAGUAACACGUGGGUAACCUGCCCAUAAGACUGGGAUAACUCCGGGAAACCGGGGCUAAUACCGGAUAACAUUUUGAACCGCAUGGUUCGAAAUUGAAAGGCGGCUUCGGCUGUCACUUAUGGAUGGACCCGCGUCGCAUUAGCUAGUUGGUGAGGUAACGGCUCACCAAGGCAACGAUGCGUAGCCGACCUGAGAGGGUGAUAGGCCACACGGGGACUGAGAACCGGCCCAGACUCCUACGGGAGGCAACAGUAGGGAAUCUUCCGCAAUGGACGAAAGUCUGACGGAGCAACGCCGCGUGAGUGAUGAAGGCUUUCGGGUCGUAAAACUCUGUUGUUAGGGAAGAACAAGUGCUAGUUGAAUAAGCUGGCACCUUGACGGUACCUAACCAGAAAGCCACGGCUAACUACGUGCCAGCCGCCGCCGUAA
This 515-nucleotide ribosomal RNA is filed under the name uncultured bacterium. RNAcentral's name for it is "partial 16S ribosomal RNA". It matches the Rfam family "Bacterial small subunit ribosomal RNA", at positions 28 to 523 of the family's 1533-position model. The record is from RNAcentral.